Long non-coding RNA from Felis catus (domestic cat), 846 nucleotides. RefSeq lists it as uncharacterized. The record is from RefSeq and is a predicted model, not a curated record. Lineage: Eukaryota; Metazoa; Chordata; Mammalia; Carnivora; Felidae. The transcript has 2 exons.
UGAGAUCAUGACCUGAGCUGAAGCCGGACACUAAACUGACUGAGCCACCCAGAUGCCGCACCAAGAUGGUUUUCUUUAGUGAAAAGUACAAGGUGCCAAACUGUGUUUAGAAUGCUAUUUUCAGGGCACCUGGCUGCCUCAGUCGGUAGAGCAUGUGACUCUCGAUCUUGGGGUCGUGAGUUCAAACCCUACUUUGAAUGUAGAGCUCACACACACACACACACACAAAAUAGAAUGCUGUUUUCAAAAAAGGAUAUAUAUGGAUAUGUUUGCGUAUGCAAAAACUAUGGAAACAAGAAACUAAGGAGAAAACCGGCCCACAGGGAGGAGAGCUUGGUCACCAGGGAUGAAAGUGGGACAUUUGCAUUGUAUACUCUUUUGCAUUUUGUACCAAGUAUAAGUAUUAUUUAUUUAAUAAACAAAAUAUAUGUAAAUACAUGAAGGUUGCCUUUGGUGAAUCAUUUUGCAAGGUUCAUUUGUAGUGCAAACAACCACUCCCUCAUUUGCUUUGGAAAUGUUGACAUUUCUGUCCUGGAUUUUCUUAAAGCAUGAAAUACCAGAGUCUACAAACCACACCCUGAGUGUUCUAAAUUUGAGGUCACUGACAAAACCAGCCAUGCAAGUGUGACUUUCCAAAAGGCCAAACAUUGUCAAGAGAAGCAGAGCAUCUUACCCCUGACAGUGCGUGUCUUACCCACUGGAAGCAAUGACAUCAGUUGCCUCUGAAUAUUCCUUCCAUGAGAAGAUAGGAACCGUCCUCAGCUCCUGCUAGCCCAGAGCUGCUCCAACUUAACAUGUAUACAAAUCCUGUAGGAUUCAAUUAAAAUACAUAUUCUGAUUUAGAAA